RNAcentral lists this ribosomal RNA (464 nucleotides) under Vreelandella stevensii. RNAcentral's name for it is "partial 16S ribosomal RNA". It matches the Rfam family "Bacterial small subunit ribosomal RNA", at positions 338 to 795 of the family's 1533-position model. The record is from RNAcentral. Lineage: Bacteria; Pseudomonadati; Pseudomonadota; Gammaproteobacteria; Oceanospirillales; Halomonadaceae.
CCUACGGGCGGCAGCAGUGGGGAAUAUUGGACAAUGGGGGAACCCUGAUCCAGCCAUGCCGCGUGUGUGAAGAAGGCCCUCGGGUUGUAAAGCACUUUCAGUGAGGAAGAACGCCUGGUGGUUAAUACCCAUCAGGAAAGACAUCACUCACAGAAGAAGCACCGGCUAACUCCGUGCCAGCAGCCGCGGUAAUACGGAGGGUGCGAGCGUUAAUCGGAAUUACUGGGCGUAAAGCGCGCGUAGGUGGCUUGAUAAGCCGGUUGUGAAAGCCCCGGGCUCAACCUGGGAACGGCAUCCGGAACUGUCAAGCUAGAGUGCAGGAGAGGAAGGUAGAAUUCCCGGUGUAGCGGUGAAAUGCGUAGAGAUCGGGAGGAAUACCAGUGGCGAAGGCGGCCUUCUGGACUGACACUGACACUGAGGUGCGAAAGCGUGGGUAGCAAACAGGAUUAGAUACCCUUGUAGUC